Molecule: ribosomal RNA, 253 nt
Filed under: uncultured bacterium
Lineage: Bacteria
Description: partial 16S ribosomal RNA
Rfam family: Bacterial small subunit ribosomal RNA
Source: RNAcentral
UACGGGGGGGGCAAGCGUUGUUCGGAAUUACUGGGCGUAAAGGGCUCGUAGGCGGCCAACUAAGUCAUACGUGAAAUCCCUCGGCUUAACCGGGGAACUGCGUCUGAUACUGGAUGGCUUGAGUUCGGGAGAGGGAUGCGGAAUUCCUGGUGUAGCGGUGAAAUGCGCAGAUAUCAGGAGGAACACCGGUGGCGAAGGCGGGUCUCUGGGCAACUACUGACGCUGAGGAGCGAAAGCGUGGGGAGCGAACAGG